UACGUAGGGUGCAAGCGUUGUCCGGAAUUAUUGGGCGUAAAGAGCUCGUAGGCGGUUCGUCGCGUCGGCUGUGAAGACCCGGAGCUCAACUCCGGGCCUGCAGUCGAUACGGGCGGACUUGAGUGUUGCAGGGGAGACUGGAAUUCCUGGUGUAGCGGUGAAAUGCGCAGAUAUCAGGAGGAACACCGGUGGCGAAGGCGGGUCUCUGGGCAACUACUGACGCUGAGGAGCGAAAGCGUGGGGAGCGAACAGG
RNAcentral lists this ribosomal RNA (253 nucleotides) under uncultured bacterium. Its description in RNAcentral is "partial 16S ribosomal RNA". It matches the Rfam family "Bacterial small subunit ribosomal RNA", at positions 524 to 776 of the family's 1533-position model. The record is from RNAcentral.